This 440-nucleotide ribosomal RNA is filed under the name uncultured bacterium. RNAcentral describes it as "partial 16S ribosomal RNA". It matches the Rfam family "Bacterial small subunit ribosomal RNA", at positions 338 to 795 of the family's 1533-position model. The record is from RNAcentral.
CCUACGGGAGGCAGCAGUGGGGAAUAUUGCACAAUGGGGGAAACCCUGAUGCAGCGACGCCGCGUGAGUGAAGACGUAAUUCGUUAUGUAAAGCUCUAUCCGCAGGGAAGAAAAUGACGGUACCUGCGUAAGAAGCCCCGGCUAACUACGUGCCCGCAGCCGCGGUACUACGUAGGGUGCAAGCGUUAUACGGAUUUACUGGGUGUAAAGGGAGCGUAGACGGCAGUGCAAGUCUGGAGUGAAAGGCGGGGGCUCAACCCCCGGACUGCUCUGGAAACUGUACGGCUGGAGUGCAGGAGAGGUAAGUGGAAUUCCUAGUGUAGCGGUGAAAUGCGUAGAUAUGAGGAGGAACACCAGUGGCGAAGGCGGCUUACUGGACUGUAACUGACGUUGAGGCUCGAAAGCGUGGGGAGCAAACAGGAUUAGAUACCCUUGUAGUC